Molecule: non-coding RNA, 951 nt
Filed under: Helogenes marmoratus
Lineage: Eukaryota; Metazoa; Chordata; Actinopteri; Siluriformes; Cetopsidae
Description: 12S rRNA
Rfam family: Bacterial small subunit ribosomal RNA
Source: RNAcentral
CAAAGGUUUGGUCCUGACCUUACUAUCAACUUUAACUUAACUUAUACAUGCAAGUAUCCGCAUCCCUGUGAGAAUGCCCUCAACCCUCCUGUGAGAAAAAGGAGCAGAUAUCAGGCACACUACUUCUAGCCCACAACAUCUUGCUAUGCCACACCCCCAAGGGAACUCAGCAGUAAUAAACAUUAAGCCAUAAGUGAAAACUUGACUUAGCUAAAGCUAAAAGAGUCGGUAAAAUUCGUGCCAGCCACCGCGGUUAUACGAAAGACUCCAGUUGAUAGAUGCGGUGUAAAGAGUGGUUAAGGAACACUACUAAUAAAGCCAAAUAUUCUCCAAGCUGUCAUACGCACUCUGAGAACACGAAGCCCAAACACGAAAGUAGCUUUAAAUCUACAACACCUGAACCCACGAAAGCCAAGAAACAAACUGGGAUUAGAUACCCCACUAUGCUUGGCCAUAAACUUAAAUUUUAAACUACACAUUUAUUCACCAGGGUACUACAAGCAUAGCUUAAAACCCAAAGGACUUGGCGGUGCCUCAGACCCACCUAGAGGAGCCUGUUCUAGAACCGAUAACCCCCGUUAAACCUCACCAUUUCUUGUUUAAACCGCCUAUAUACCGCCGUCGUCAGCUUACCCCGUAAGGGUAUAACAGUAAGCAAAAUAGCCAUACCCUAAAACGUCAGGUCGAGGUGUAGCGAAUGAAGUGGGAAGAAAUGGGCUACAUUUUCUACUUACAGAACAACACGAAAGAUAAUUUGAAACACUUUAUCUAAAGGUGGAUUUAGUAGUAAAAAGCAAACAGAGAGUGCUUUUGAAUUAGGCUCUGAAGCGCGCACACACCGCCCGUCACUCUCCCCACAACCACCUAAGCCAAUAAUUAAUAAAACAAAAUGUUAUACGGGGAGGCAAGUCGUAACAUGGUAAGUAUACCGGAAGGUGUACUUGGAAUAAC